RNAcentral lists this ribosomal RNA (396 nucleotides) under Triticum aestivum (bread wheat). RNAcentral describes it as "partial small subunit ribosomal RNA". The record is from RNAcentral. Lineage: Eukaryota; Viridiplantae; Streptophyta; Magnoliopsida; Poales; Poaceae.
AUGGAGACAGGAGAAGCUGGGGGAGGAAUGGUCCUCUGGGACGACACCGGCGCUAUAAUUUACACAACAUGCAGGGAGAUUUUCGCAUGUGAUAUUGGCUUGGAGGCAAAGCUCCUGGCGUGUAGAGAAGGUGUCGAGCUCGCGCUGCACAGAACCCAGCUCCCCUUUGUAGAGCUUGACUGUGCAGAGGCGGUAAUGAUGAUCAAGAGUCCCAUGCAGAAUCGCUCGAAGUAUACGGCACUGGUACAGGACAUCAAAGGAAUGAUUGCUGAGAGUAUGAGGGAGAUAGUGUUCGCUCACAUUAGUCGCUCACAGAAUAAGGUCGCUCAUGGCCUUGCUGCCUACGGUAGAUGCACACCUCGCACCGCGGUGUGGUGUGGGUUUGGGGACAAAUGA